RNAcentral lists this RNase P RNA (449 nucleotides) under Planctomycetales bacterium. RNAcentral's name for it is "RNase P RNA component class A". It matches the Rfam family "Bacterial RNase P class A". Rfam says of the family: Ribonuclease P (RNase P) is a ubiquitous endoribonuclease, found in archaea, bacteria and eukarya as well as chloroplasts and mitochondria. Its best characterised activity is the generation of mature 5'-ends of tRNAs by cleaving the 5'-leader elements of precursor-tRNAs. The record is from RNAcentral. Lineage: Bacteria; Pseudomonadati; Planctomycetota; Planctomycetia; Planctomycetales.
UGGGGUGGCUAGAUGGUCGCUGCCGGGCUGCUUGUUAAGAGCGGCUCGGGAGAGGAAAGUCCGGGCUUCGCAGAGCAGGGCGGUCGGUAAUGCCGACCAAUCGCAAGAUUAGGGAAAGUGCCACAGAAAGCAAACCGCCGAACGGCUGACCUAGGUCAGUGCGUGGUAAGGGUGAAACGGUGAGGUAAGAGCUCACCAGCAGCGGCGGCGACGUGGCUGGCUUGGUAAACCCCGCCCGAAGCAAGAUCAAACAGAGGGGAAGCCACGCGUCUCAAGCGACUUGUCGCCUGAAACGCGGGGCUACGAUUCGGCUCGGAUCGUUACCACUUUCGGGUAGAUCGCUCGAGGCUACGAGCAAUCGUAGUCCUAGAUAAAUGACCAUCAGCGCGACGUCAGCCAAGUGCUCGACGUUCGCGCGACAGAACCCGGCUUAUCGGCCUACCCAUGCG